UAGGUGUUACUUGAUGAAGCAAAUGUAUCAGGCAAGUUCACACUGAUCAUUCAUGACGACUAUUACAUCUAAACGUCUUUCGCUCCUAUCUGACUCACCAA
This 101-nucleotide small nucleolar RNA is filed under the name Wallemia mellicola CBS 633.66. RNAcentral's name for it is "Small nucleolar RNA snR60/Z15/Z230/Z193/J17". It matches the Rfam family "Small nucleolar RNA snR60/Z15/Z230/Z193/J17". From Rfam's summary of the family: The members of this family belong to the C/D class of snoRNAs which contain the C (UGAUGA) and D (CUGA) box motifs. Most of the members of the box C/D family function in directing site-specific 2'-O-methylation of substrate RNAs. Lineage: Eukaryota; Fungi; Basidiomycota; Wallemiomycetes; Wallemiales; Wallemiaceae. RNAcentral also lists the same sequence under 1 other name. The record is from Rfam by way of RNAcentral.